CAAGCUGUCCGGAUCCAGUCAGACAACGCCACGGCGGUGGCAUACAUCAACCGUCAGGGAGGCACCAGAAGCACUCUAGCAAAUCAAGAGGUGGCCCUCAUCCUGGAAUGGGCAGAAAGAACGACAACCCAGAUAUCCGCAAUCCACAUUCCAGGAGUGGACAACGUGGAAGCCGAUUUCCUCAGCCGUCACCAUCUCGACCCCGGCGAAUGGGAACUGCACCAGGACUCAUUUCAGUUGCUAGUAGCCAAAUGGGGAUGGCCGCAGAUCGACCUCAUGGCAACCAGAGAAAAUCGGAAGGUGCCCACCUUCUUCGCACGGCGCAGAGACCCUCUGGCGGCGGGCAUAGAUGCCAUGACCAUGCCCUGGCACUUUCGACUGGCGUAUGUAUUCCCUCCACUUCCCAUGCUACCUCGAGUGUUAAGAAAAAUCGCCAGAGAUCCAGUCACAGUGAUUCUCGUGGCACCUCUCUGGCCCCGGAGGUCAUGGUACUCCGCUCUCCUCGAUCUGUCCUUGGAGCCUCCUGUACCACUGCCUCCGUCUCCUCAGCUGUUACGUCAAGGUCCAAUUUUUCACCACAACCCUCAGUUCUUUGCCUUAACGGGAUGGCUCUUGAGGCGGCAGUACUAAGACAGAAAGGGUUUUCGGAAGACGUCAUUCACACCAUGAUCAAAGCACGAAAACCGGUCACCUCCAAGGUCUACCACAGGGUGUGGGAAACAUACCGUUCCUGGUGUAGCGCAGAGGAGGUUCCCUUUGGAGUUUUCAGACUUCCCUGGAUUCUGAAGUUUCUUCAAACAGGGCUGGACAAAGGCCUCAGCCUCGGCUCUCUCAAAGCUCAAAUAUCUGCUCUAUCCAUCCUUUUCCAGCAGCGGAUUGCUCUGGAGGAAGAUGUUCGGACCUUUCUUCAGGGCGUCGCCCGUGUGUCACCUCAAUUCAGGCAACCCCUGCCUCCAUGGGAUCUGAAUUUAGUUCUGUCGGCUCUUCUCGAUCCUCCCUUCGAGCCACUCGCUGAUGUGGGGUUGGACGUUCUCACAUGGAAGACGGCAUUCCUGGUGGCAAUCUCCUCGGCCAGGCGAGUGUCAGAGCUCGGGGCACUAUCCUGUGUGGAACCAUUCCUCGUUUUCCACGAAGAUAAGGCUGUUCUUCGUACUGUUCCCGGCUUCCUUCCCAAGGUGGUCUCUGCCUUCCACAUCAACGCGGAGAUCAUUCUACCUUCGUUUUGUAACAAACCGUCCAACGACAAGGAAGCGCGCCUGCAUCGCCUGGAUGUGGUCAGAGCUCUCAAAUCCUACGUCUCCGUCUUCGGAAGACUGACUCUCUCUUCAUUGUUCCUUCUGGGCCCCGGAAGGGCCUCCCAGCCUCCAAAACCACCAUUGCUCGUUGGAUCAAAGAGACAGUGAGACGUUCCUACCUGGCGCGGAAGAGGACGCCUCCCAUUAAGCUUCGAGCUCACUCCACCAGAGCCCUCGGCACCUCUUGGGCUUUCAGAAAUUCGGCCUCAGCUGAGCAAGUGUGUAGGGCAGCUACUUGGUCCUCCCUGCAUACAUUCACGAAAUUUUAUCACUUUAAUACCUACAUGUCUGCAGAGGCAGCCUUCGGCAGGAAGGUUCUCCAGGCAGUAGUUUCCUGAUUUGUCAGAGUUCUCCCUCCCUACUGUGGGGGUGCUUUGGUACGUCCCCACGGUCCCUGUGUCCCCCUAGACGUGAGAGAAAAGAAAAUUUAUGUACUUACUGUUAAAUUCUUUUCUCUCCAGUCGUAAGGGGGACACAGGGCUUCCCCCCCUGAACUCUUGUUCUUCUGUUUUUUCUCCAUAGUGAGAGUGUGUUAUGCAGUUACGUUCCUGUUUUUAGUUCUUAGUUACAAACUGGCGCCCUCUGGGCAUGACAGGGGAUAAAGGGAGAGUGGGAGGGCUGUCAGCUCUGAUGUCAUCAGUGUCCUCCUCCUGAUGGGCGGGACCCUUUACCCCACGGUCCCUGUGUCCCCCUUACGACUGGAGAGAAAAGAAUUUAACAUUAUCGUACCAGAGAAGAAAUUCAGGAAGUAAGAAGUAAAAGUGAUCCGAUCACCCUUCUCAAGGACAGAAUGUUAAACAACAACCUGUCUAAUGUGGAGGAUUAAAGGAAAUUGAUGUGGAAGUACGGAAAGAGAUUGAGGAAGCUGCUCAGUUUGCUACCACCGACCCUGAACCUCCACUAGAAGAAAUUGCCAAUCACAUUUAUCGCAAUGAUCCCACCUUUGAUGUCAGAGGAGCAAAUCUCUGGAUCAAAUACAAAUCCGCCAGCUAAAUCUCUUCAGUCCUCCUCUGGUCAAUGUUACCUGUUACUUUAAGGGCAUUUUAAUGGGUGCUGGGUUAUGUUUGCUCCUCACUGCUGGGUUGAAGACGCACUGCAAUUCUUAAUGUCCCACCAGUAACAUCAUCCACUUUAGACUUUGUUUUAAUACAUAAGGACUUGGCAUGUGUUUGGAUAAGAAGAAAAUGCCUUAAUGUUUUCAGACCGAAAGCAGAUCUGCAUCCAUUUUAGUUCAGUGUAAUCAUUAGAGAGAACUCGUGCUUCAGGAGACCCCCUUUUCUUCCAUGGUUUUCCCUCUGAUUCUGGCUGGGCAAAGUUCUCUUAUAAUGUAAGUUAGAAGCUCCGCCUUCUUCAGAUGAAAUGUUAUAUAUAUAUUUAUAGGAUCCUGAACUUAAAGUCUUGCCAUUUAUACAUGUGCUGAAACAUUUAUUAUUCCGUUUCAUUAAAACUGACCUCAACACAAUGAUUGCUUUGUAUUUUUCUUAGCUCCUAAUAAACGUCAUCAGCAAUA
RNA transcript from Xenopus laevis (African clawed frog), 2805 nucleotides. It is a transcript of the gene named pyruvate dehydrogenase E1 component subunit alpha, somatic form, mitochondrial-like, with no coding region annotated. NCBI's taxonomy places the organism in Eukaryota, Metazoa, Chordata, Amphibia, Anura, Pipidae. The transcript is spliced from 3 exons. The record is from RefSeq and is a predicted model, not a curated record.